UUAAAAAGCUCGUAGUUGAAUUUCGGGAUCAGAUUGUCGGUCGUGCCUCGGUACGCACUGGCAUUAUUAGUUCCUACCUUCUGAAGAACCGCGAUGUCAUUAAUUUGGUGUCGUGGGGAAUCAGGACUGUUACUUUGAAAAAAUUAGAGUGUUUAAAGCAGGCGCACGCUUGAAUACAUUAGCAUGGAAUAAUGAAAUAGGACGUUUGAUUCUAUUUUGUUGGUUUCUAGGAUCGACGUAAUGAUUAAUAGGGAUAGUUGGGGG
Molecule: ribosomal RNA, 264 nt
Filed under: uncultured Glomus
Lineage: Eukaryota; Fungi; Glomeromycota; Glomeromycetes; Glomerales; Glomeraceae
Description: partial 18S ribosomal RNA
Rfam family: Eukaryotic small subunit ribosomal RNA
Source: RNAcentral